This 320-nucleotide ribosomal RNA is filed under the name uncultured eukaryote. RNAcentral's name for it is "partial 18S ribosomal RNA". It matches the Rfam family "Eukaryotic small subunit ribosomal RNA", at positions 1470 to 1796 of the family's 1831-position model. The record is from RNAcentral.
CCCUUCGAUGUUCUGGGCUGCACGCGUGUUACAAUCGGGAGUACAACAAGAUUGCAAAUCCUAGUGGAUGAGUGGUUCUUCGAAAUUUUCUGAAGACUGGGAUAGUUGAUUGAAAUUAUUCAACUCGAACGAGGAAUUCCUUGUAAUUGUAAUUCAUUAUAUUGUAAUGAAUACGUCCCUGCCCUUUGUACACACCGCCCGUCGCUCCUACCGAUUGAACGAUCCGGUGAAUUAUUUGGAGUAGCUCUGGAAGUUGCAGAACUUCCUAUGUCACGAAAUUUUGUAAACCUUAUCGUUUAGAGGAAGGAAAAGUCGUAACA